RNAcentral lists this ribosomal RNA (757 nucleotides) under bacterium EJ10-48. RNAcentral's name for it is "bacterial SSU rRNA". It matches the Rfam family "Bacterial small subunit ribosomal RNA", at positions 49 to 818 of the family's 1533-position model. The record is from RNAcentral.
UUACACAUGCAAGUCGAACGAUGAUGCCAGCUUGCUGGCGGAUUAGUGGCGAACGGGUGAGUAACACGUGAGUAACCUGCCCUUAACUCUGGGAUAAGCCUGGGAAACUGGGUCUAAUACCGGAUAUGACUCCUCAUCGCAUGGUGGGGGGUGGAAAGCUUUAUUGUGGUUUUGGAUGGACUCGCGGCCUAUCAGCUUGUUGGUGAGGUAAUGGCUCACCAAGGCGACGACGGGUAGCCGGCCUGAGAGGGUGACCGGCCACACUGGGACUGAGACACGGCCCAGACUCCUACGGGAGGCAGCAGUGGGGAAUAUUGCACAAUGGGCGAAAGCCUGAUGCAGCGACGCCGCGUGAGGGAUGACGGCCUUCGGGUUGUAAACCUCUUUCAGUAGGGAAGAAGCGAAAGUGACGGUACCUGCAGAAGAAGCGCCGGCUAACUACGUGCCAGCAGCCGCGGUAAUACGUAGGGCGCAAGCGUUAUCCGGAAUUAUUGGGCGUAAAGAGCUCGUAGGCGGUUUGUCGCGUCUGCCGUGAAAGUCCGGGGCUCAACUCCGGAUCUGCGGUGGGUACGGGCAGACUAGAGUGAUGUAGGGGAGACUGGAAUUCCUGGUGUAGCGGUGAAAUGCGCAGAUAUCAGGAGGAACNNCNAUGGCGAAGGCAGGUCUCUGGGCAUUAACUGACGCUGAGGAGCGAAAGCAUGGGGAGCGAACAGGAUUAGAUACCCCUGGUAGUCCAUGCCGUAAACGUUGGGCACUA